GUCCACAUCAUGUUGAAACACCGGUACCCGUACGAUCACCGAAGUUAAACUAGUUUGAGCCUGGUCAGUACCUAGAUCGGCGACCACUUGGAAAUAUUGGA
This is a non-coding RNA of Acanthosepion pharaonis, 101 nucleotides long. Lineage: Eukaryota; Metazoa; Mollusca; Cephalopoda; Sepiida; Sepiidae. The record is from the annotation of a GenBank genome assembly.